Molecule: ribosomal RNA, 467 nt
Filed under: Centipeda dianae
Lineage: Bacteria; Bacillati; Bacillota; Negativicutes; Selenomonadales; Selenomonadaceae
Description: bacterial SSU rRNA
Rfam family: Bacterial small subunit ribosomal RNA
Source: RNAcentral
GACGAACGCUGGCGGCGUGCUUAACACAUGCAAGUCGAACGGAGCGAAUGAAAGCUUGCUUUUAUGCGCUUAGUGGCAAACGGGUGAGUAACACGUAGACAACCUGCCGACAGGAUGGGGACAACAUUCCGAAAGGAAUGCUAAUACCGAAUGAAGCGGAGGAGAGGCAUCUCUCCUCCGUGAAAGAUGGCCUCUUUUUAUGCUAUCACCUGUCGAUGGGUCUGCGUCUGAUUAGCUGGUUGGUGAGGUAACGGCUCACCAAGGCGACGAUCAGUAGCCGGUCUGAGAGGAUGAACGGCCACAUUGGGACUGAGACACGGCCCAGACUCCUACGGGAGGCAGCAGUGGGGAAUCUUCCGCAAUGGGCGCAAGCCUGACGGAGCAACGCCGCGUGAGUGAAGAAGGUCUUCGGAUCGUAAAGCUCUGUUGAUGGGGACGAACGUACGGGGUGCGAAUAGUGCCUUUAA